RNAcentral lists this ribosomal RNA (253 nucleotides) under uncultured bacterium. RNAcentral describes it as "partial 16S ribosomal RNA". It matches the Rfam family "Bacterial small subunit ribosomal RNA", at positions 524 to 776 of the family's 1533-position model. The record is from RNAcentral.
UACGAAGGGGGCUAGCGUUGCUCGGAAUGACUGGGCGUAAAGGGCGCGUAGGCGGCUUGCACCGUCAGAUGUGAAAUUCCUGGGCUUAACCUGGGGGCUGCAUUUGAUACGUGUGGGCUUGAGUGCGGAAGAGGGUCGUGGAAUUCCCAGUGUAGAGGUGAAAUUCGUAGAGAUUGGGUGGAACACCAGUGGCGAAGGCGCCUGCCUGGCUGAUGACUGACGCUGAGACUCGAAAGCAUGGGGAGCAAACAGG